Long non-coding RNA from Patiria miniata (bat star), 637 nucleotides. RefSeq lists it as uncharacterized. The transcript is spliced from 3 exons. The record is from RefSeq and is a predicted model, not a curated record. NCBI's taxonomy places the organism in Eukaryota, Metazoa, Echinodermata, Asteroidea, Valvatida, Asterinidae.
GCUGAUUGGUCCAUUGCUGAGAUGAAUGCUGAGAUUGGGGAGAGCCACGCCCACCUCUACACAUCACAGACUGAUGAACAGGAAGCCAUGGCCAGGAUGCAACAUAUGUGCUUUGCCUUGGAGCUGUCAAGCAUUGAAGGAACCAUAUGCAGCUACAGAACUCACUCAGGCCUGGCAAAUGGACUGAUGAUUGCAGUGAUCUCGUAAUCCUCGUUUGAGUCUCCCCACCCCAAGCUGGAGGCGUUGAUCUGGAGAAGUGGAAUUAGUUGACCUGGCUUGACCCCCUGCAUGGGGUGCUGCCAUCUUGAAAUCGUUGUGUGCCAAGGAAAAGGAUGUAAGCAGCCCAGGCCUACAGAAAAAAAACACAGAACCUUUGGAGAUAAUCGAGUUGAAGGGUUUUGUGCUCUCAUUUCUGAAUGGAAAAUCACAUCAUGCUGAAAUUUGGGCCCAUUGAAGUCGUUAAUAAUUAAAAUCAUAUUGUGCAUUUAUAUUUCAAAAUAUUACUUAAUUUUGAAGUUAUUUAUAUUGUUCUGCUUACCACCUGUUACCAGGAACUCCAUCUGCCUUAAACGUGAACUCGCCCUGCAUUAAACUUGCACUUCAGCGUCAUGUUAAAGGGAAAAUACAACAUUUGCAA